This 1097-nucleotide long non-coding RNA is filed under the name Cervus hanglu yarkandensis (Yarkand deer). RNAcentral describes it as "lncRNA (ENSCHYG00000000024.1)". The record is from RNAcentral. Lineage: Eukaryota; Metazoa; Chordata; Mammalia; Artiodactyla; Cervidae.
GUUGGGGCGGACCGCGAGCCCCGCGGGCCGGGCGGGAAGUGCGGGCGCGCGGCGGUCCCGGGGGACGGGGGCACGGGGGUCGCCGGAGGCGGCCGGCGCGGGUGCUCGGCGCAUGGAGAGGAAGGGGCGCGCUCGGGGUCCCCGGCUGGAGCCCGCAGGUGCCCGGCGGGGCCCACGCCUGGAGUGGAUGUGCAGUGGAUCCACUUGGAGCAGCCUUACUCGAAGAAUAAUACCCUCAGGAUCUCCCCUUGCUGUGGGAAUAAUCCAAGGCACCUUUCCGGGAAGUCAGUUUGCUGAAACUACUGAAGCAGCAGUUCUUGGAAGUUGAAGAAAAGGUAAAUAGAAGCAAAUUUGUGUCUGCUAAAGUCCUCUUAAGAGGGAAACCCAUGUUUGGAGGGUCCCUGUUGCUUCUUAGACAUACCCAGCUCUAUGUGUAAUAUUUUACCUUCCUCUGCCUGGCCACGCCCUAGUUUGCCUUCACCAGCGGCUCCCGCCUCGGAAACGAGGGCUUUCCUCUCUGGCUGGUGUGGUUUCUCCUGCCUUUGAACCCCCACUGUACCGCGUUCUCCUUACUGACCUGUAUCCCGGGGGCCACUCUGUGGCCCUCCUCUCUGUCCUCCCGCAGCCGUGUGGAAUGUGGGGGCUGCUUUCUGUGACCCUCACCCCGUCGUAGCACUUCCAUGCUGACUGUAGUUACCUGUUUGCGUGUUUCCCCCAGUCACUUCCUUACGAUGUAUCUGAACUGAGCCUCAGACAUAGAAGCUGCCUCCAUGAACAUUUAUCGAAUGAGCAGUGCUCACCUCAUGUGUAGAUUCACUAAUACCUCCACCGUUCCACCCUUAUAGGGCCUCUACUACAAAUCCUUCUCAAAUUGAUUUUAUUCUUUGAGCACUCAUCAGAGAUUUUUAAUCUCUAGUUGCUUUUUGUGUUUUGGCUGUUGGGGAAAUGAAGCAAAGCUUUCAUAUCUAGUUUUUAUUUUUCAUGGGCAGUUUGGUUCCACAUUAAGAGCUGUGAUCCAGAAGCUUGAGGGGAAGCGAGGUGACAGGCAGGUCCGGGAACCAGUGACCUUGGAAGCAUGGCUCCCCACCCGAAUCCGC